AAGCGCUACGGUGGCCCGGAAGGAGGGGUGGACGCGCCUGCGACUUUCGGCAUGCCCUGGCUGCUGCGACCCAGGAAUGAUGGAGAUAUUAAUAGAGGAUUCUAUUACCACAUGUCUUUCUCCAUCAGUGUAUGAUAUGAUUUGUAAACUUGGGUUUGAAGUCAGAGAAAAUUGUGAUAUCAAUACCAUUGUAUCUCCAAAUGGCGAAGUGUGCUGGCAGACAAUCACAGAAUGUGUGAGUUAUACAGAGUCAGACCAAAAUCUGGAUUACCAGAAAAGUGUGAGGCUACUGGGUCCUAUAUGUGAAGCUGUUCAUUUGCAUUUGGUAUCUUUGACUAAGAUGCAGUUUGAAAUUCGUUAUGCAUUGUGGUUCCAGUGGACAAAUUUUCCAGAGUUAUUUCCUGAGAUAUUUGAUGCCUUGAAAAGUCUACAAACUACUACUGUUUCCCUUAGCUUAAUGAAACUGACGUCGUGUCUAGAACGAGCUUUGGGUGAUGUAUUUUUACUGACUGGGAAGGAAUGCCCCUUUCUUUUAAGAGAUCUGCUUGCAUCUGAGGAACUUGCUCAAGUCUUUGGGCAGCCUGUGAUGGAUGUGCUAAAAGUGUUUGUUGGCUCUCCAUGUGGACUUAACCUGCGUAAUAUCUUAUGGCAUGGCUUUGCAUCACCUCAAGAAAUUCCUCCAAAAUACUGUUCAAUGGUGUUACUGGUGACAGCAGGAUUGGGUCAGCUGCUAAAAAGUUACCUUCAACAAAUUGAAUUUACAUUGGUACAUCGAUCUUUCAUAACUCUUAAAAACUCAGAGGAUUUGAUUGUUUUUCCUGAUGUUACUCCUGAAAUACUUUCAAUAUUAGAAGAAGUGAUGAAGACAUCUACUUUUAUAUUAAAAAUUAUGUUGCCAUAUUGGGAAGUUGCAAUAAUCAAGUUUAGAUCACACAGGUUUGCUGACUGUGCUUUAUUAUUAUUGACUCAACUAGAAACUGGACUCAGGAAUGUUUUUGCCACAGUUAACAAAUGUCCCAAAAGACUUCUGACAGCAGAGUCAACAGCUCUUUACACAACCUUUGAUGAAAUAUUGGCAAAAGAAUUGAAUGAUGGUAAAAUCAAUCAGCUUCCUCUUUUUCUUGGAGAGCCUGCUAUGGAAUUUCUCUGGGAUUUCCUAAACCAUCAGGAAGGUCCUCGUGUAAGAGAUCAUUUAAGCCAUGGGGAGAUCAACUUAAAUGAAUUUCCAAAAGAAAUAGCAAAUCAGUUGCUUGCAUUUUCCCUUGUACUGUUACUCAGAUUCAUUGAUGAAGAUCUGUUAUCCGUUUUUAAGGAAAAAACAGCAAUAAAAUCAUUGGUUAGUUUUGCAGAAGGCUAUAGUUCUUGCUUCCAUCCAGUUUCUCAGCUUAAAAAACAGGUGCUGAACUGUGAAAAAAGUAUCAGUGUUUGGCCACUACUUCCUUUGCCAGGAGAUCAAAUUCAGGUAACGAGAUUAGAAGAUAAUUCUGAAACAAAGUCCUGCAACUCUUUGAUUAUAAAAAUUAUGUAUGAACUAUAUUAUCAUGUACCUGAGAAUCAUUGUGUUUUUAAAAGUUUGGAUAAUAUUCCUACUGAGAAAUGGUCCCAGUUGCUCAGCGAACUUUGCAGCAUACCCGUCCGAACUUUAUACUGUCCCAGAAUUGUACUUGAAGUUCUCAUUGUGCUCCGAAAAAUCAGCACCCAGUGCCAGCAAGUGUCUGAUCAGGUUGUUACCUCCUCAGAGAUGAGGCACAAGCAGUGGGUGGAAAAGACUCUUCGAUCUCGGCAGAGACAGAACUAUCUACGCAUGUUAACCAGUAUUAAGCUUCUGUCUCCUGUACUUUACCUGAUUUUAUUGUUCAUUGCACUGGAGUUGGUCAGCAUUCACUUUGUUCAUGAAAAGAAUACUUAUGAAUAUCAGCAGUAUUUAAACUGAGUGAACAUUGAGUCAUGAGGUCGCACCAAGUCCCUCUGGACAUAGCUAUUUGGACCAGCAGUGGACACCUGCUAGUGGGGAGCUUAUCCAUCGGUUGGCUGACUUGAGAUAUUGGGAGAUAUUCCCCUUGGGGAUUUUGAAAUUGGAAUACUAAGAAGCAGAAACCUCUGGAGCUAGAAGAUCAGGAAGCCCAGGGACUAGGGUACGCCGAACACAGGACUCCAUGCAGAAUUUCCCCCUCCUGUUUUUCUAAGGAUGUUUUGAUCCUACCAUUUGCCUGGGUCGCUUUGACACGAGGGCUGGGGUUUCCCGCUGUCCUUGGAUGACAUCUGUGAGGCUUUAAUGUCCGGAGAACCACUGCCCCAACUCAAACGUCAACCCAACUGGCACCACCCUGUAGGAGCGCCAUCAGAUCACGUUGGUGCUCCGAGGCCUGUGUAUGUGUUUUUAAGAAACUUCCCAAGGCGAUUCUAAUGUGAAGUCUGCAUUAGGAAUCCCUGAUGUGGUCAACAAUUUUGAGGGGUUGCUUGGGCCAUAGUUCUUGGGUAAAAGGAAGCUUCUGAGAUACCUGUGGGAAGUUGGGCUGAAGUUACAACAAGGGAAGGCAGAAACCAAGUUGUUUUACUCUUCUAUUCCAAGCCUGACAGGCAACAGAUAUUCAACGAGUGUUUGUGCAAGGACCCGGUACUUGAAGGCAUGAGGAGGUGGACAUAUGGAUGUGUUUGGAGAGUGAAACCACGAAGCAGAUUCCUGGCUGCUCCUUCAGGGAAACAAGAAACAAGCAGGUAUCCUACAAACUGGGCAAUUUGGAAGAACGAUGUUCCUCAGAGAGUGCUAAAGAAGAGAUGCACAUGACCAAGUUCAUUCAGAUUGCAAUUCAGCUGCAGCUGUGGCAAGCAAAACCCAGUGUUGUGAAAAGUGAAACAUUUUCUGGUUUGGCUUUCACGUUGGACUGAUGUUUUCCGCCAAAAGGAAAGACAUUUUAUACUCUUUAAAGAUUAUGUCCAGCAGGAUUAAAAUGACAUCUGUAUCUGCUAUGAAGUCAGCUAAAACAAAACAUGACAACGAAAGCAAGGGAAGACAAAUGUAUAUUGCAUCACGUGUUUUAUGGCACAAAUUAAAUAAAGGCAAUUGUAUGAAAGUUAGAAAACAGAGAGAAAUGUCACAUUAUGUUCCAAAUUCUGGAACGUAGUGAAGACAAAGCACAGGGAGAAAAAUUUAAUGUGCAAAUAAAACCCAAUUUUAAAGAAAAUAUCUGCAUGGGUUAAGGUGCCCACAUGGUUAGGGUGUGGUAGCAAAGAUGGUGGACCCAAUUACUCUGCCCGCACCCCCCAAAACCCCACAGAUUAAUUAGUGCCUUACAGCAACCUGAUCUUAAAAAAUGGAUUGCAUAGCUGGUACCUGGAGAUAUGUUUACCAACAUUUCUGUCUCACUCUCGAUAGCUAUUGCUAUUCUUUUUUUGCCAAGUUAACAAAGGUUUUGAGGCACGUGGGGUCCCGGAGAGACUGGAGGUCUUGAUGAAAGAAGCUCUGGGCUCUUUGAAGACCGUGGGCUUCCCGAGGGUGGUGGGCUGAGCCUAGAGCCCCUGGAGCUUGAUAUGUUCCUUUUCUUUCCUUAAAUGAGCACUCUUGGCUGACUGGUGGCCUGGCCAGGCCCUGGAGCCUCUUGGCUGCAUCUGCUUAUCAAGGAAUGGAAACACCUGCCUGUCUAGGGCUUCGAGUUCAAGUGCUGCUAUUGAAGGACAAAUCUUGUUUCUUUCUAGCUGUCUCCCCCUUUUCUCAUACUUCUCCUCCUGCAUCUAAAGCAGCUUUGUGUAUUUUAGGGCCGCACCUCUACUUUACUUGCCUUUUCUUUUUCUUCGCCUCGUAGGUACAGAGCUGAAAAUGUCUGCUCCACAUGGAACUUGGUUUAGGAGGGAGCCUGAGAUCGUCAGCUGACAUCAGCACGGCCGUUUAAAGGACACAGAUGAGCUUCUGAACUUUCUGCACAUUUAAGGCUUUGGUUUGCCAGGGCUGCUAUGACAAACACCAUAGACUGGUUGGUAUAAACAACAGGACUUUAAAGUCUCAAGGUUUUGGAGGCUGGAAGUCUAAAAUCAGGGUGUCGGCAAGGCCGACCUUUCUCCGAAGUCUGUAGCAUCCUAGUGCAGGUUGCUCCAGCACAGGGUGGACUCUCUCUCUGGUUUCUUCUGAGCUGGCUUCUUCUGACUGAUUGCAUCCAGACUUCCUCUCCUUAUAAGGACUUCAGCCAUAAGGAUUAAGGCCUCGUCUAAAUAAGACCUUCAAGCAGAAUAAAAUCCUAUUCACGAAUGAGUCCACACCUUAGCUACCAGCACCUUCAAAUCUUAUUUACAAAUGGAUUCACAGUCUCAGGAAUGAAGAUUAAGACCUGAACACAUCAUUGGUGGGGACAUGAUUUGAUUCCCAACAAGCAGCCUCUUUGAAAUGUCUGUAUUUUUGUGUUUCCUCUUCUCCCUUUGAGUCAACAAACAAAGACAAUUUCUGUAGGAAUUUAUGUGGCCCUCCAUUGCCUUGCCAUGUCUAGGGUUGCUUUGUGGAGGACUGGGAGUCACACCCAUUGCCGAGACCCAAAUGACCUCUCCAGCUCCCGGGGGCCUGAGCAAGAUCUCAGAAUAUUUUCUCCAGGAUGUUUCCAGGAGGAAACACAUAGAGACCAAAAGUGGGGGCAGUGUUUGAUGGAUAAGGUUACAGUGGCCCCAACAAGUCAGAAAGGCAGCCAGUAUUAAGAAAGAGAGAACUUAGUCAAGGCUAAAAAAUUCUCGUAUGCGCUAUGGCAAAAUCAGAUGUGAUGUGUUUGUCAGACAGCAGCAUAGUGAAAUGAUUCAGAAUGUGGGCUAGAUUUUCCACUUCUCAGCUGAGUGAUCUUGAGCAAACUACUUAACUCUUGAAGCCUCAGUUUUUCUCAUCUGUAAAUGGGGACAGUAAAUCUCUAAACCUUAUGGGAUUGUAGUACAGACGAAAUAAGAUAAAGACCAUACAAAAACUGGUGUCUAGCUAGCUCAGUAAAUGUUAUCUGUUAUUCACCCCAUUGAUGACAAAUUACCUUUGUAUUAAUGAGUGUGGGUGCAUGUGUCUUCUUUUGAAUUAUAAGCCCCUGAAGAAGUGUUACUCAAAUUUUAAUGCUCAACUAAUCACCUGGGAAUCUUGCUAAAAUAGAAAUUGAUUCAGGGUGUCCAGAGUGAGACCUGAAAGCCUGCAUGUGCACUAAGUUCCCAGGUGAAACCCAGGUAAGGGACCACACUUUGAGUAGCAAAGCUCCUGAACAACACAACUGGGUCUCAGUUCUAUGCUGGAAGAUGACUAGCACAGACUCUUACACACACUAGACACCCAAUAAAACCUUUUUUUUGAAUGAAUGAAUAACUGGUGAGCUGCAUAGCUAAAGAGGAGCCCCCAAAUAUUCAGAAGUGGCCCCAAAUAUUACAUUAUAGAAAGAGCACUUAAUCUGGUGACAAGCAUAGGUUUAAGAAUAACACAGGUGAAUCUGUGAAAACCAACAAUCACAGGUACUUAUGAUGAUGUUCUGGAUGUUCAGGGCAUUCUGGAACUUUUGAGGACAGCAUCACAGAGGAUCUUAUUCUGUUUCCCCACAACACAUUGCCUAGGUCCACCAUACAAUGGAGAAUAUAGGGCUGGGUAUGAUAAUUGCCAUGACUGAUCAACUCAAAAAUGUAUUUGUUAAGCAACUAGCUCGGCACAGGGCUUUGUGCUCCCAUUGCCUACAGAUUCAGAGAGUGUGCUCCAUUUGGGUCUACUUUGAUUGCACCUGUAAUGCAAGUAUCCCGUGGAGUACUGUGCCGGUUUGUAUAUUUAUGUCCCCCAGAAAAAGCCAUAUUCUUUAACGCAUUCUAGUGGGGCAGACGUAUUGGUGUGGAUUGGGUUGGGACCUGUUGGUUCAGUUUCCAUGGAGAUGUGAC
Molecule: RNA transcript, 5871 nt
Organism: Choloepus didactylus (southern two-toed sloth)
Lineage: Eukaryota; Metazoa; Chordata; Mammalia; Pilosa; Megalonychidae
Gene: ERMARD
Gene name: ER membrane associated RNA degradation
Exons: 27
Source: RefSeq, a predicted model, not a curated record